GACGAACCGUGCUAACGUUGUUCGGAAUCACUGGGCUUAAAGGGCGCGUAGGCGGGCAUGCAAGUCAGGGGUGAAAGCCCACGGCUCAACCGUGGAAGUGCCUUUGAUACUGCUUGCCUCGAGGGAGGUAGGGGCGUGCGGAACUUCCGGUGGAGCGGUGAAAUGCGUAGAUAUCGGAAGGAACACCGGUGGCGAAAGCGGCGCGCUGGACCUCUUCUGACGCUGAGGCGCGAAAGCCAGGGGAGCAAACGGG
Molecule: ribosomal RNA, 253 nt
Filed under: uncultured bacterium
Lineage: Bacteria
Description: partial 16S ribosomal RNA
Rfam family: Bacterial small subunit ribosomal RNA
Source: RNAcentral